RNAcentral lists this transfer-messenger RNA (469 nucleotides) under Patescibacteria group. RNAcentral describes it as "JAHIPV01 sp018902845 Standard tmRNA". It matches the Rfam family "transfer-messenger RNA". Rfam says of the family: Bacterial tmRNA, also known as 10Sa RNA or SsrA, is named for its dual tRNA and mRNA-like properties. Its role is to liberate the mRNA from a stalled ribosome. RNAcentral also lists the same sequence under 2 other names. The record is from RNAcentral.
GGAGAUGUAAUUGCAUCGACAGAAAAUGCACUUUAAAAAACUGCAAGCCGGCUUUGAUUAACAGCCGUAAAACAAAAUCAAAAAAAACAUGCCAAUACAUUCGGCAGUGCUUUAAGAAAUGUCCUAGCUCUUGCUGGGGCUAAUCUUUCGAGAGUUGAAAGUGGUGUCGGUUAUUCUACCGGUAGCAAUUUCAAUUUAAAUCUUGCUGUAGCUUAGGCUUAAGCGAGAGAGUCAUCCUUUUAUUUUCUAUUCCAGAGGGAAUAAGUAAGGGUGUCAACUAAACUGGAACACGAUAAUUUGAGUCUCGAUUCUUGAAUUAUUUAAGAGUGAGUAGAAUCACAAACAAUCGACACUUUGGAAAAAUUGACUUGUUUUGUUUUUCAAAGAUUAAGUUUUAAGCAAGUUAAGCUUGUAGUAAGUUUUUUAAAUCGUUUUUUGGACCUCGGGUCAUACCUGAGCAUCUCCUCCU